This 209-nucleotide long non-coding RNA is filed under the name Homo sapiens (human). Its description in RNAcentral is "non-protein coding lnc-RIMBP3C-2:3". The record is from RNAcentral. Lineage: Eukaryota; Metazoa; Chordata; Mammalia; Primates; Hominidae.
AGUGGAGACAGCUGGAGAGCACUGAGGACGCGGACCCACGGGUACUGUGUGAGCUGUGAAGCCCGCUUGGGAGACCCCACUGCCAGCCAGGUGACCAGGCAUUGAUGCACCCCCAGGAAGGCCACGCGCUCAGGAGGCCCCCCCGCCCCGCUGGCUGCUGCUCACAUGGUGUCUGGGCCCUUGGCACUCUGGUGAGGCGCAGGGGAGGG